GGGGGACGAAUCCGAGGUGGAACUUUGACAAGCGGUACUCUAUAACCCCAUCGGUUCUCGAAAGGGGCGGGAAACUCACGGUGCGUGUGUGUUAUAAGAGAAGUGUGGGAGUUCACUGGUGCAUCGGUGAAAGUGAAGUAUGUCUAAAACAACUUUUGGAAACGUGGAUUGAGUCUCAUAAGGAGACAGUCACACUCACUAAGGACGUGCUGAAGCACGGCAAGCGUCGUGGACAAUUCACCUUCUCCUACACUUUCCGACUACACUCAUUUUCUGUUUGAGACCAAAAACCAAAAAACAAAAAAAUGUUGACGGCACUAGUAAUUGGAUGCAUGCUCAUAUUUA
Molecule: long non-coding RNA, 345 nt
Filed under: Salvia miltiorrhiza (redroot sage)
Lineage: Eukaryota; Viridiplantae; Streptophyta; Magnoliopsida; Lamiales; Lamiaceae
Description: long non-coding RNA (SMIL_LNC012469)
Source: RNAcentral